AACGCGCCUUGCGCUCCUUGGUAUUCCGAGGAGCAUGCCUGUUUGAGUGUCAUUUAAUUCUCAACCUUAUUAGCUUUUGCUGAUAAUGGCUUGGAUGUGGGGGUUCUCUUUUGCUGGCUUCUUUUCACAGAGGUCAGCUCCCCUGAAAUGCAUUAGCUGGUGCCCCGCGUGGACUGUCUAUUUGGUGUGAUAAUUAUCAACGCCGUGGAUGUCUGCAAUUGGUUUUGGCAUUGCUUCUAACUGUCCGUUCAUUUGGACAACACAUGACAAUUUGACCUCAAAUCAGGUAGGACUACCCGCUGAACUUAA
This 309-nucleotide unclassified non-coding RNA is filed under the name uncultured fungus. RNAcentral describes it as "partial contains 5.8S ribosomal RNA, internal transcribed spacer 2, and large subunit ribosomal RNA". The record is from RNAcentral. RNAcentral also lists the same sequence under 1 other name. Lineage: Eukaryota; Fungi.